This 365-nucleotide ribosomal RNA is filed under the name uncultured bacterium. Its description in RNAcentral is "bacterial SSU rRNA". It matches the Rfam family "Bacterial small subunit ribosomal RNA", at positions 29 to 414 of the family's 1533-position model. The record is from RNAcentral.
AGUGAACGCUGGCGGCGCGCUUAACACAUGCAAGUCGCACGAGAAAAGGGCAACCUUAGUAAAGUGGCGUACGGGUGAGUAACACGUGGAUCAUAUACCUUUUAGUGGGGAAUAACUUUGGGAACCGAAGCUAAUACCGCAUAAGCCCGAGAGGGGAAAGGCAGCAAUGCGCUGAAAGAGUAGUCCGCGGCUGAUUAGCUAGUUGGUGAGGUAAUGGCUCACCAAGGCUUUGAUCGGAGCCGGCCUGAGAGGGCUCACGGCCACACUGGCACUGAACACGGGCCAGACUCCUACGGGAGGCAGCAGUGGGGAUAUUGCGCAAUGGGCGGAAGCCUGACGCAGCGACGCCGCGUGAGGGAUGACGG